RNAcentral lists this ribosomal RNA (2908 nucleotides) under Serratia marcescens. RNAcentral describes it as "23S ribosomal RNA". It matches the Rfam family "Bacterial large subunit ribosomal RNA". Lineage: Bacteria; Pseudomonadati; Pseudomonadota; Gammaproteobacteria; Enterobacterales; Yersiniaceae. RNAcentral also lists the same sequence under 1 other name. The record is from RNAcentral.
GGUUAAGUGACUAAGCGUACACGGUGGAUGCCUAGGCAGUCAGAGGCGAUGAAGGGCGUGCUAAUCUGCGAAAAGCGUCGGUAAGGUGAUAUGAACCGUUACAACCGGCGAUACCCGAAUGGGGAAACCCAGUGUGUUUCGACACACUAUCAUGUCAUGAAUACAUAGUGGCAUGAGGCGAACCGGGGGAACUGAAACAUCUAAGUACCCCGAGGAAAAGAAAUCAACCGAGAUUCCCCCAGUAGCGGCGAGCGAACGGGGAGGAGCCCAGAACCUGAAUCGGCUUGUGUGUUAGUGGAAGCGUCUGGAAAGUCGCGCAGUAAAGGGUGAUAGCCCCGUACACUAAAAUGCACAGGUCGUGAGUUCGAUGAGUAGGGCGGGACACGUGACAUCCUGUCUGAAUAUGGGGGGACCAUCCUCCAAGGCUAAAUACUCCUGACUGACCGAUAGUGAACCAGUACCGUGAGGGAAAGGCGAAAAGAACCCCGGCGAGGGGAGUGAAAUAGAACCUGAAACCGUGUACGUACAAGCAGUGGGAGCACCUUCGUGGUGUGACUGCGUACCUUUUGUAUAAUGGGUCAGCGACUUAUAUUUUGUAGCAAGGUUAACCGUAUAGGGGAGCCGUAGGGAAACCGAGUCUUAACUGGGCGAAUAGUUGCAAGGUAUAGACCCGAAACCCGGUGAUCUAGCCAUGGGCAGGUUGAAGGUUGGGUAACACUAACUGGAGGACCGAACCGACUAAUGUUGAAAAAUUAGCGGAUGACUUGUGGCUGGGGGUGAAAGGCCAAUCAAACCGGGAGAUAGCUGGUUCUCCCCGAAAGCUAUUUAGGUAGCGCCUCGUGAACUCAUCUUCGGGGGUAGAGCACUGUUUCGGCUAGGGGGCCAUCCCGGCUUACCAAACCGAUGCAAACUCCGAAUACCGAAGAAUGUUAUCACGGGAGACACACGGCGGGUGCUAACGUCCGUCGUGAAGAGGGAAACAACCCAGACCGCCAGCUAAGGUCCCAAAGUCAUGGUUAAGUGGGAAACGAUGUGGGAAGGCAUAGACAGCCAGGAUGUUGGCUUAGAAGCAGCCAUCAUUUAAAGAAAGCGUAAUAGCUCACUGGUCGAGUCGGCCUGCGCGGAAGAUGUAACGGGGCUAAACCAUGCACCGAAGCUGCGGCAGCGACGCUUAGGCGUUGUUGGGUAGGGGAGCGUUCUGUAAGCCGUUGAAGGUGGCCUGUGAGGGUUGCUGGAGGUAUCAGAAGUGCGAAUGCUGACAUAAGUAACGAUAAAGCGGGUGAAAAGCCCGCUCGCCGGAAGACCAAGGGUUCCUGUCCAACGUUAAUCGGGGCAGGGUGAGUCGACCCCUAAGGCGAGGCUGAAAAGCGUAGUCGAUGGGAAACAGGUUAAUAUUCCUGUACUUGGUGUUACUGCGAAGGGGGGACGGAGAAGGCUAGGCUAGCCGGGCGACGGUUGUCCCGGUUUAAGCGUGUAGGGGGUGUGACCUGGUAAAUCCGGUUGCAUAUCAACCCUGAGGCGUGAUGACGAUGCACUACGGUGCAGAAGUAGUUGAUGCCCUGCUUCCAGGAAAAGCCUCUAAGCUCCAGGUAACAUUAAAUCGUACCCCAAACCGACACAGGUGGUCAGGUAGAGAAUACCAAGGCGCUUGAGAGAACUCGGGUGAAGGAACUAGGCAAAAUGGUGCCGUAACUUCGGGAGAAGGCACGCUGGCAUGUAGGUGAAGUCCCUUGCGGAUGGAGCUGAAGCCAGUCGAAGAUACCAGCUGGCUGCAACUGUUUAAUAAAAACACAGCACUGUGCAAACACGAAAGUGGACGUAUACGGUGUGACGCCUGCCCGGUGCUGGAAGGUUAAUUGAUGGGGUCAGCCGCAAGGCGAAGCUCUUGAUCGAAGCCCCAGUAAACGGCGGCCGUAACUAUAACGGUCCUAAGGUAGCGAAAUUCCUUGUCGGGUAAGUUCCGACCUGCACGAAUGGCGUAAUGAUGGCCAGGCUGUCUCCACCCGAGACUCAGUGAAAUUGAACUCGCUGUGAAGAUGCAGUGUACCCGCGGCAAGACGGAAAGACCCCGUGAACCUUUACUAUAGCUUGACACUGAACAUUGAGCCUUGAUGUGUAGGAUAGGUGGGAGGCUUUGAAGCGUGGACGCCAGUCUGCGUGGAGCCAUCCUUGAAAUACCACCCUUUAAUGUUUGAUGUUCUAACUCGGCCCCAUAAUCUGGGGUGAGGACAGUGUCUGGUGGGUAGUUUGACUGGGGCGGUCUCCUCCCAAAGAGUAACGGAGGAGCACGAAGGUUAGCUAAUCACGGUCGGACAUCGUGAGGUUAGUGCAAAGGCAUAAGCUAGCUUGACUGCGAGAGUGACGGCUCGAGCAGGUACGAAAGUAGGUCUUAGUGAUCCGGUGGUUCUGAAUGGAAGGGCCAUCGCUCAACGGAUAAAAGGUACUCCGGGGAUAACAGGCUGAUACCGCCCAAGAGUUCAUAUCGACGGCGGUGUUUGGCACCUCGAUGUCGGCUCAUCACAUCCUGGGGCUGAAGUAGGUCCCAAGGGUAUGGCUGUUCGCCAUUUAAAGUGGUACGCGAGCUGGGUUUAGAACGUCGUGAGACAGUUCGGUCCCUAUCUGCCGUGGGCGUUGGAAGAUUGAGAGGGGUUGCUCCUAGUACGAGAGGACCGGAGUGAACGCACCACUGGUGUUCGGGUUGUCAUGCCAAUGGCAUUGCCCGGUAGCUAAGUGCGGAAAAGAUAAGCGCUGAAAGCAUCUAAGCGCGAAACUUGCCUCAAGAUGAGUCUUCCCUGGGCCUUUAAGGUCCCUGAAGGAACGUUUAAGACUAAGACGUUGAUAGGCUGGGUGUGUAAGUGCAGCGAUGCAUUGAGCUAACCAGUACUAAUGAUCCGUGAGGCUUAACCUU